This 33-nucleotide transfer RNA is filed under the name Diadema antillarum. Its description in RNAcentral is "partial tRNA-Lys". The record is from RNAcentral. Lineage: Eukaryota; Metazoa; Echinodermata; Echinoidea; Diadematoida; Diadematidae.
UAAAAGACAGUAGUUAAACUCUACUAUUAAGGG